UAGGGAAUCUUCCGCAAUGGACGAAAGUCUGACGGAGCAACGCCGCGUGAGUGAAGAAGGAUUUCGGUUCGUAAAACUCUGUUGUUAGGGAAGAAAAAAUGUAUAGUAACUAUAUACAAAAGAGACGGUACCUAACCAGAAAGCCACGGCUAACUACGUGCCAGCAGCCGCGGUAAUACGUAGGUGGCAAGCGUUGUCCGGAAUUAUUGGGCGUAAAGCGCACGCAGGUGGUUUAGAAAGUCUGAUGUGAAAGCCCACGGCUCAACCGUGGAGGGUCAUUGGAAACUAAUAAACUUGAGUGCAGGAGAGAAAAGUGGAAUUCCUAGUGUAGCGGUGAAAUGCGUAGAGAUUAGGAGGAACACCGGUGGCGAAAGCGGCUUUUUGGCCUGCAACUGACACUGAGGCGCGAAAGCGUGGGGAGCAAACAGG
Molecule: ribosomal RNA, 429 nt
Filed under: Verrucomicrobiota bacterium
Lineage: Bacteria; Pseudomonadati; Verrucomicrobiota
Description: Verrucomicrobia bacterium partial 16S ribosomal RNA
Rfam family: Bacterial small subunit ribosomal RNA
Source: RNAcentral